GAGAGAGAGGCACAGAGACAGAGAGAGAGAUGGCGAUGGAAGGAGAGCGAGGGGGAGGGGUAGGGGUCUCGGCACUGUUGAUGCAGAUGGGAUGGUGGGUAUGGUCUGAGAAGACCAUAUGGGUCGUCGGGAUUUCAGGGAGACGGGGUAAGGGACAUCGACAAACCCUACUAAGGGUGGGGUGUGCCGGAUCUUGCGCUGCAUGCCUGAAAUCCAAAGAUAAGUUUCUUUUUAAAAUUGUAUUCUUUAAUGUUGCCUUGGAUUUUCUGAUUGUUUAGUAUGUUAGGUCCGGUUUUGGGGGAGUUGUGAUUUUCUAGAGAGAGAUGGAUGGGGAGAUAGAGGUAGACAGAGAUAGGAGAAAGCAUGGAUGUGUUCAUUUUUUUGGAUUAAUUAAUGGGUUAGUGCACAGGGUCAGUGAGGAGAGAGUCACAGAAGGGUGUAUGGCAGGGUAUGGCUUUUCGGUUUUUCCUUCUGAUUGAAUAGGGUAUGUACUGUUUCAAACUAAUUGUUUAUUGUUUUGUUUUCCUUUUGCUUUGUUAGAACCAAAAUUUUCUAGUGUUUGCUUCUCAUUCCUCUGUUGGUUGAUUUUUUUUUUACCCAUCUCUUGGUUCCUUAUGUAUUCCUUGGCUCUGUCUAAUUUUUGGUUGUGGGCUGAUGCUUGCAGGUGAACUAUGUGCACGGUUUUUUGGACGAGUUAGGAAGAUCCACAUGAACUGGUAAUUUCUUGUGGUUGUGUACUUAAAUGUACAUGUGUAACAUGCAUACCUGCCCAACAUCAUAAGCGUGGCUUGAGGAUUGGUCCCUGGUGAUAAAUUGAAUACAGAUCCAUCAACAACACGUAAUGCCUUGAUCCCCAUGACCCGCAAAUCUUCAUCAACUACCUUUCCGACCACGCAUCCUCCAUGGUAGUGCCAAAAUGUGGCUACUGUAUCUCGACAAAAGGUUUUAAGGGAUGCAUCAUCUGACUGGUUCAUUGGUAAAGGCGGUCCAAAAAGGUUGAAACCGUCUAGACCUGGCAAAUCUCGAGCCUUAUACGGUUUCAAUGAGUUUGUUUUUAAUAAAUCACCCAUUUUCCUCA
Malus domestica (apple) is the source of this 1078-nucleotide non-coding RNA. Lineage: Eukaryota; Viridiplantae; Streptophyta; Magnoliopsida; Rosales; Rosaceae. The record is from RefSeq and is a predicted model, not a curated record.